RNAcentral lists this ribosomal RNA (440 nucleotides) under uncultured bacterium. RNAcentral describes it as "partial 16S ribosomal RNA". It matches the Rfam family "Bacterial small subunit ribosomal RNA", at positions 338 to 795 of the family's 1533-position model. The record is from RNAcentral.
CCUACGGGAGGCAGCAGUGGGGAAUAUUGCUCAAUGGGCGAAACCCUGAAGCAGCAACGUCGCGUGGGGGAUGAAGGUCUUAGGAUUGGAAACCCCUUUUGUCAGAGAAGAAAAUGACGGUAUCUCACGAAUAAGCACCGGCCAACGCGGAGACGGCAGCCGCGGUAAUGCGGAGGGUGCCAGGGUGAAUCGGAAUCACUGGGCGGAAAGGGUGCGCAGGGGGGCUUGUAAGUUAGAUGUGAAAUCCUCUGGCCUAACUACAGAACUGCAGUUGAAACUAGGAGUCUUGAGUGUGGGAGAGGUAGGUGGAAUGCGUGGUGUAGGGGUGAAAUCCGUAGAUAUCACGAGGAAUACCCAUUGCGAAGGCGACCUACUGGAUCAUUACUGACGCUCAUGCACGAAAGCGUGGGUAGCAAACAGGAUUAGAUACCCUUGUAGUC